Molecule: long non-coding RNA, 708 nt
Organism: Mus musculus (house mouse)
Lineage: Eukaryota; Metazoa; Chordata; Mammalia; Rodentia; Muridae
Product: predicted gene, 42400
Exons: 3
Source: RefSeq, a predicted model, not a curated record
AUCAGCAAGUCUAAGACUUGCAUUCAUAUGCUCACAAACACUGCUCUACUCCUCUGCAUAGCCGCCCAGAACUGCGUGCUGGAGAUGUAGGACAACUGUCACACAUGGUCCCUGGGCUCCUGGCACUUAUGCUUUAGCAGAGAAGAUGGAUUCAAACACGUCACUGGCAACUGGAAAUACAAGUGGAUAUGGCCGGCCGUGCAACCAGGAUCUUGACUUGCAACGCAAGAAAGAACUUCAGGACAAGUCAGAGUGGAACACAACUGUUGCCUGCUGGAGAUCCAGAUGGAAAUUUCUAGUACACAUGAGUCUGGAGCCUAGAUGCAAUGGAUGACUGGAGAUAGCCAUCACUGAGUCAUCUGCACAGAGACGAACGCUGAAGCCACUUAGGGACACCGGCAUUUAAGGAUGCUGUGUGGCUCUUUCUCUGAGGCUGGAUGUGAUCAUUGCCAUCGUGAUUCAGAGCAGCAGUGAGAACAGAAGACCCUCAAGACCACGCCCACUACCAGCAUGGAAGUUAGGGGGGACACAUGCAUCUGCGGCAUCUGCUUGAAGCCCACAGUGAAGCAUUUUGAAUAAUAAUCCAGAAGCUGGAUGCUUUUAAGGAAACCCAGAGGACAGAAACAUGUUGCUGUCUGACUGAGUUUGAUCCCUAGGAUCCACAUGGUGAAAGGGGAGAACCAGUUCCUGCAAGUUCUCUGACCUUUA